Molecule: ribosomal RNA, 430 nt
Filed under: Pseudomonadota bacterium
Lineage: Bacteria; Pseudomonadati; Pseudomonadota
Description: Proteobacteria bacterium partial 16S ribosomal RNA
Rfam family: Bacterial small subunit ribosomal RNA
Source: RNAcentral
UGGGGAAUAUUGGACAAUGGGGGGAACCCUGAUCCAGCCAUGCCGCGUGUGUGAAGAAGGCCUUAUGGUUGUAAAGCACUUUAAGCGAGGAGGAGGGUACUGGUAUUAAUACUACCAGGUACUGGACGUUACUCGCAGAAUAAGCACCGGCUAACUCUGUGCCAGCAGCCGCGGUAAUACAGAGGGUGCGAGCGUUAAUCGGAUUUACUGGGCGUAAAGCGUGCGUAGGCGGCUAAUUGAGUCGGAUGUGAAAUCCCCGAGCUUAACUUGGGAAUUGCAUUCGAUACUGGUUAGCUAGAGUGUGGGAGAGGAUGGUAGAAAGCCAGGUGUAGCGGUGAAAUGCGUAGAGAUCUGGGGGAAUACCGAUGGCGGAGGCAGCCAUCUGGCCUAACACUGACGCUGAGGUACGAAAGCAUGGGGAGCAAACAGG